This 389-nucleotide ribosomal RNA is filed under the name uncultured bacterium. Its description in RNAcentral is "partial 16S ribosomal RNA". It matches the Rfam family "Bacterial small subunit ribosomal RNA", at positions 523 to 918 of the family's 1533-position model. The record is from RNAcentral.
AUACGUAGGUGACAAGCGUUAUCCGGAUUUACUGGGCGUAAAGGGCGUGUAGGCGGUCUUGCAAGUCAGAAGUGAAAUUCCUGAGCUCAACUCGGGCGCUGCUUCUGAAACUGCAGGACUUGAGUGCUGGAGGGGAUAGCGGAAUUCCUAGUGGAGCGGUAAAAUGCGCAGAUAUUAGGAAGAACACCGGUGGCGAAGGCGGCUAUCUGGACAGUAACUGACGCUGAGGCGCGAAAGCGUGGGGAGCAAACAGGAUUAGAUACCCUAGUAGUCCACGCUGUAAACGAUGACAACUAAAUAUUGCCGCGAGGCAGUGUUGAAGCUAACGCAUUAAGUUGUCCGCCUGGGGAGUACGGUCGCAAGACUGAAACUCAAAGGAAUUGACGGGG